This 1196-nucleotide unclassified non-coding RNA is filed under the name Hevea brasiliensis (rubber tree). Lineage: Eukaryota; Viridiplantae; Streptophyta; Magnoliopsida; Malpighiales; Euphorbiaceae. The record is from RNAcentral.
GUGAACACUGCUAUAAGUAGCAGAUAUCAAACAGGUAACAUGCCAAAACGGUAUCAAAUUUGUUUGAGAUGUCACUAAUUUAGUUAUCACAGAAAUCACAACACGUUAGUCAAAGAACAAUAGUAGAAAUUUCCUUAGCUUCUCAAAUAUAACAAGUAAAACACAGAUUGGCAACAACUAUACCAUAACUACGUUACUUGAUUUAGUCUUGAUUUCCUUUUCAACUAUGAUAAUAUGCAUUCAAUUGUUCCAGAGCUCUAGCUGCUCUUUCGUGCACCAUCUACUGUUAGAACUAUAUAGACGAAAGUUGAUUUUCCUAACAACUCCAAGGAGCUUAUCUUUGCCAUAUCCGCCAUCAAGCAGAACUCCUGAAGCCAACAUUGAUAUUAUCCCUUUACAGAAAGAAAUCCUUAGUCAUCUUCAGAAUCAAAGUACCACCCCCAAAAUCCAUUUCUGUCUCCAUUUGUUGGCCGAGUUUCUCCAGCCACUUCGCUAAAUCCAUUAUUCUUACGCGCCCCUCCGAUUCCCAGAUUCCCCCCUUGACUCCAGCUUUAUAUAUUUCUUCCCCUUCCCCAUCACCUUCAUCGUGUUCCUUGCCACCCACUUAACUUUCCCCAUCACCUUCAUCCCCUCUUUUUUUACCUCUAUUCUCACACUCCCUUGCAUCACAGACUCUGCCUCACCAACUCUCACAUUCCCAUGGACUCUAUCAACCCCAUUCUUCACCAUCUCUCCUUCUACGCCCAGGCCACUAUUUUCCCCAUUUUUGUCUUCUCCAGUCUCUUGAUUGCCUAAAUCAUCAUCACUAUCAUCAGAGAUUACCACCACAUUCUCCACAACUUCUUUAAACGCCUCAUUAUUUCCUUUCUUUUCAUCGAAGCAAGAAUCACCGCCACCACUUUCCCCUUUCUUGCCACCCAAGCAACCUUCAAAAUCGUACCUCAACGGAAAAUACCCAACCCCACAAUAAUACUGCUCCUUCCCUUCCACCACCACACCCACCGGAGGCGGCGGCACUGCGACCCCAUGAAAGGGCCUCCUACAGUUUUGACACCUCAAACAACACUCCUCGUAAAUCCCAUCAUACUCAUGCAGGCAAUAACAGUAGGGGCACACGGUCCAAAAUGACCUGUUUCCAUUCUUCUGGGGUUCAUCGCUAGUGUUUUUGACCCCAUGGUAUUGUUGGGAUAUCUUUU